AGAGUAAGAGAACGAUUUAAGGAGCGAAUACUACUGGUAAACUAAUGGAAGAAAUCUGCUGCACCACUGGAUAUUGGGAGUGUGUGGCAUGCAUCCUCAUCAUCAGGAAACUCUAAAAAAGAACCGAGUGGUGCUAGCCAAACAGCUGUUGUUGAGUGAAUUGUUAGAACAUCUUCUGGAGAAGGACAUCAUCACCUUGGAAAUGAGGGAGCUCAUCCAGGCCAAAGUGGGCAGUUUCAGCCAGAAUGUGGAACUCCUCAACUUGCUGCCUAAGAGGGGUCCCCAAGCUUUUGAUGCCUUCUGUGAAGCACUGAGGGAGACCAAGCAAGGCCACCUGGAGGAUAUGUUGCUCACCACCCUUUCUGGGCUUCAGCAUGUACUCCCACCGUUGAGCUGUGACUACGACUUGAGUCUCCCUUUUCCGGUGUGUGAGUCCUGUCCCCUUUACAAGAAGCUCCGCCUGUCGACAGAUACUGUGGAACACUCCCUAGACAAUAAAGAUGGUCCUGUCUGCCUUCAGGUGAAGCCUUGCACUCCUGAAUUUUAUCAAACACACUUCCAGCUGGCAUAUAGGUUGCAGUCUCGGCCUCGUGGCCUAGCACUGGUGUUGAGCAAUGUGCACUUCACUGGAGAGAAAGAACUGGAAUUUCGCUCUGGAGGGGAUGUGGACCACAGUACUCUAGUCACCCUCUUCAAGCUUUUGGGCUAUGACGUCCAUGUUCUAUGUGACCAGACUGCACAGGAAAUGCAAGAGAAACUGCAGAAUUUUGCACAGUUACCUGCACACCGAGUCACGGACUCCUGCAUCGUGGCACUCCUCUCGCAUGGUGUGGAGGGCGCCAUCUAUGGUGUGGAUGGGAAACUGCUCCAGCUACAAGAGGUUUUUCAGCUCUUUGACAACGCCAACUGCCCAAGCCUACAGAACAAACCAAAAAUGUUCUUCAUCCAGGCCUGCCGUGGAGGUGCUAUUGGAUCCCUUGGGCACCUCCUUCUGUUCACUGCUGCCACCGCCUCUCUUGCUCUAUGAGACUGAUCGUGGGGUUGACCAACAAGAUGGAAAGAACCACGCAGGAUCCCCUGGGUGCGAGGAGAGUGAUGCCGGUAAAGAAAAGUUGCCGAAGAUGAGACUGCCCACGCGCUCAGACAUGAUAUGCGGCUAUGCCUGCCUCAAAGGGACUGCCGCCAUGCGGAACACCAAACGAGGUUCCUGGUACAUCGAGGCUCUUGCUCAAGUGUUUUCUGAGCGGGCUUGUGAUAUGCACGUGGCCGACAUGCUGGUUAAGGUGAACGCACUUAUCAAGGAUCGGGAAGGUUAUGCUCCUGGCACAGAGUUCCACCGGUGCAAGGAGAUGUCUGAAUACUGCAGCACUCUGUGCCGCCACCUCUACCUGUUCCCAGGACACCCUCCCACAUGAUGUCACCUCCCCAUCAUCCACGCCAAGUGGAAGCCACUGGACCACAGGAGGUGUGAUAGAGCCUUUGAUCUUCAGGAUGCACGGUUUCUGUUCUGCCCCCUCAGGGAUGUGGGAAUCUCCCAGACUUGUUUCCUGUGCCCAUGAUCUCUGCCUUUGAGUGUGGGACUCCAGGCCAGCUCCUUUUCUGUGAAGCCCUUUGCCUGUAGAGCCAGCUUUGGUUGGACCUAUUGCCAGGAAUGUUUCAGCUACAGUUGAAGAGCCUCACAAGUGAAGUUGUAAACACAGUGUGGUUAUGGGGAGAGGGCAUAUAAGUUCCCCAUAUUUGUGUUCAGUUCCAGCUUUUGUAGAUGGCACUUUAGUGAUUGCUUUUAUUACAUUAGUUAAGAUGUCUGAGAGACCAUCUCCUAUCUUUUAUUUCAUUCAUAUCCUCCGCCCUUCUUGUCCUAGAGUGAGAGUUUGGAAGGUGUCCAAAUUUAACGUAGACAUUAUCUUUUGGCUCUGAAGAGGCAAACAUGACUAGAGACGCACCUUGCUGCAGUGUCCAGAAGCGGCCUGUGCGUUCCCUUCAGUACUGCAGGGCACCCAGUGGAAGGACACUCUUGGCUCGUUUGGGCUCAAGGCACCGCAGCCUGUCAGCCAACGUUGCCUUGCAUUUGUACCUUAUUGAUCUUUGCCCAUGGAAGUCUCAAAGAUCUUUCAUUGGUUGUUUCUCUGAGCUUUGUUACUGAAAUGAGCCUCGUGGGGAGCAUC
This 2165-nucleotide small RNA is filed under the name Pan troglodytes (chimpanzee). RNAcentral's name for it is "processed transcript". The record is from RNAcentral. Lineage: Eukaryota; Metazoa; Chordata; Mammalia; Primates; Hominidae.